This is a long non-coding RNA of Carya illinoinensis, 1143 nucleotides long. RefSeq lists it as uncharacterized. The record is from RefSeq and is a predicted model, not a curated record. The transcript is spliced from 4 exons. NCBI's taxonomy places the organism in Eukaryota, Viridiplantae, Streptophyta, Magnoliopsida, Fagales, Juglandaceae.
UUUAAUUUCAUUCAUUGGUUUCUCUUUCCAAAACUAAUUUAUCUAGCACAAUGCAUGACCUAGGGCAAAAUCUUUCCCAAUUUUCAUCAAUGGCGGAGAAGAGCUUCAAAUACGUGAUCCUCGGUGGCAGAGUCGUAGCCGGAUAUGCAGCUAGGGAGUUUGCCAAACAGGGGGUUAAGCCAGGCAAGCUGCGAUCAUUUCCAAAGAGGCGAAUUAGGGUUUAAUCUUCUCGAUAUGGUCUGCGGAGGACACAAAACGGGCACUUGUGAGCAAAUUCCUUGAAUAUGAUCUUCUACUUGAAUUGUUGGGAAUCCCAUUUAAUGAAAUCACCAUAAAUCGCACUGUGGAGAGUAGGCCAUACCUGGUAUAACUAAAGCUCCUGGGUCCAUGGGCACUGACUGGUAAUAAAGAUUGGCAACCCUUUUAAUUGCUUUGAAAAACUGGGCAGAUGUGAAUUAUUAUAUACUUUGGUAAGUGAUUGCUUUAACAUAUUAAUUUGUCUGCCAUUUUUCUAUUAUUUUUAAGAUACUCUUCUUAUUGCCUUUAAAGUAAUUUUUAACUAAAUAUUAUGCCUCUGUUUGUAGAUUUGAGGCUUAGUAUAGCCUGUAGUUCUUUUGAUUGGGUAACUGCAAGUUAUAUAUAUAUUAUAUAUAUAUAUAUAUACUCCAUUGCAUCACCCAUUUACAUGUUGGUAGUGCCUUGGUAUCUUUUUAAUAAAAAAUAAAAAUGUACUUUUACUAUUCUUUUCUCUUUUUUAUUUUUAUAGAAGUACAAUAAAGUUCGCUUAGAAUUUCCCAAUUUUAAUUUCAAUGUAUCCUAUCAUGGCAACUUUGUGGCUAUAGCAUCUGAUCCUCUGGGACUUGUAAAUUUGGAUAUUGUCUCUUGUGUCAUUUCCUUGAAGGAGACAGUUUAAGACUUCAUUAAAAACUUGUCGUCAUAUUUUUUAUAUUUGGAAUUGGAUAAUAUAGUUAAUAAUGGCUCAUCUAAUGAUAUUUUGGUCGAGUUUUACAGGUAUGGUUAUGGUGAGUCCUAUACAAACUCAUUUUGAAUUUUCACUUCAGUUUACAUAUAACUAUGGGCAUUUUCCUUCAGUAUUUCACAAACAUAAACAUCGAUUGUAACCUUGAGUAUUUUCUUUUUUUU